Molecule: long non-coding RNA, 1738 nt
Filed under: Cicer arietinum (chickpea)
Lineage: Eukaryota; Viridiplantae; Streptophyta; Magnoliopsida; Fabales; Fabaceae
Description: long non-coding RNA (CARI_LNC001013)
Source: RNAcentral
CCUCAUCCAAGAACCGUGGAAGAAACCACCGCAAAAGCGAGCAGCAAGCAAAAUAGAGUAGCUGCUAGCACAAAGAUGGUUCCGAAACAAAGCAUAGCUCUCACGUGUUACUCACGCAUCACAAUCUUCCUCUGCGUUCUAACCCUAUCAACUUCUCUCCACCGCUUCUCAGAGAAUCACGAAACCUUGAUUCAAAACGUGGCUAGAAAGCUCGAACUCAAAGACAACGAGCUUCUGAAAACAGAGAAGAAGUUCAAAGUUUUCAUGGAAGAUUACUCGAAACGGUAUUCAACGAGGGAAGAGUAUCUGCUACGGCUUGGAAUUUUCGCGAGAAACAUGGUGAAAGCAGCGGAGCACCAGGUACUCGAUCCCACCGCCAUUCACGGCAUCACACAGUUCUCCGAUCUAUCCGAAGAGGAGUUUGAGCGUUUUUACACUGGCGUUAAGGGCGGAGGAUUACUCGCGAGUAAUGCCGCCGGUGAGGUGGCGCCGCCGUUGGAUGUGGAAGGCUUGCCGGAGAAUUUUGAUUGGAGGGAGAAAGGGGCUGUUACUGGAGUUAAGAUGCAGGUACAUGAGUUUAAGCUAAUUAAUUUUCUUCGAUUACACAUGCAUAUUUGUAAGUUUAUAAAAUUUUGGCUAUUGUGAUUUAUCAGUGUUUAGUUGAGAAAAUAAUUGUAUAUUAUUUUUUAAUUUUAUAUUUUAAUGUUUUGUAUAGGAAAUUAUAGAAAGCUAUAAAAAAUUAAUAAAUAAAUUGGAAAGAAAAGGAUACUUAUAGUAAUAAUAGUAUAUUAAUUAGUAAUUAAAAUUAAAAACAGUUUUAUCAUCCUGAGAUGGAGAAAAUAGAAGGAUGAUAUCAUUAGGUUGAAAUUGACAUGUAUGUACCUAUCUAUAGAAGGAUGGAUAACAGAGCAACAGAUUUAACUAAAAAUUAAUUAAACUGUAAAUUAUAAUCUGUCGUUUCUGUUAUUGGAAAUACACAAGUCCACAUUGAAUAAAGAAUGUUUUGGUUUUUUUGUGCUUAAUUUUGAACAGGGUAAAUGUGGAUCUUGCUGGGCUUUCAGCACUACAGGAUCUGUAGAAGGAGCCAAUUUUCUUGCCACUGGCAAACUUCUCAGUCUUAGUGAACAACAGCUCGUGGACUGCGACAACAAGGUAAUAAAUAAUAUAUAUAACUAUCUAUAUGUUCUACAUAUGAUAGAAUAAAUAAAUAAAUAAAUAAAAAAUUGAAGACAAAAAUAAAAUAAAAUUUAAUGCUGAUAAAUAAGUUUUUAAUGUUUUUCUUUUUUGCUUUUCAUACCCCAUCAAAUCAACUAGUUCAAUCUGUACAGAAAUUUCUGCUAUUUCAAUUUGUGCUUUUUUUACCUGAAAUUUGUUCUUGUUGCACUAUUGCCUUUGUCAAGUGUGACAUAACAGAGAAGACAUCAUGUGACAAUGGUUGUUAUGGAGGUCUUAUGACAAAUGCCUAUAAUUAUUUGAUUGAGGCUGGUGGAUUGGAAGAGGAAACUUCAUACCCUUACACUGGGGAUCGAGGUGAAUGCAAGUUUGAUCCAGAGAAAGUAGCAGUUAGAAUCACAAAUUUCACCAAUAUACCUGUUGAUGAGAACCAAAUUGCUGCAUAUUUAGUUAAACACGGUCCACUUGCAAGUAAGUCCCCUAAUUCCCUUAAUUAAUUAAACAAUCACUAUGCCAAAUUUGAAAGAAAAAAAUGAAUUGAUGAUCAUGAACUUUGAUUAUGUGC